This 482-nucleotide ribosomal RNA is filed under the name uncultured bacterium. RNAcentral's name for it is "partial 16S ribosomal RNA". It matches the Rfam family "Bacterial small subunit ribosomal RNA", at positions 30 to 507 of the family's 1533-position model. The record is from RNAcentral.
AUUGAACGCUGGCGGCAUGCUUUACACAUGCAAGUCGAACGGUAACAGGCCGCAAGGUGCUGACGAGUGGCGAACGGGUGAGUAAUGCAUCGGAACGUGCCCAGUCGUGGGGGAUAACUACUCGAAAGAGUAGCUAAUACCGCAUACGAUCUAUGGAUGAAAGCGGGGGACCGUAAGGCCUCGCGCGAUUGGAGCGGCCGAUGUCAGAUUAGGUAGUUGGUGGGGUAAAGGCUCACCAAGCCAACGAUCUGUAGCUGGUCUGAGAGGACGACCAGCCACACUGGGACUGAGACACGGCCCAGACUCCUACGGGAGGCAGCAGUGGGGAAUUUUGGACAAUGGGCGCAAGCCUGAUCCAGCAAUGCCGCGUGCAGGAAGAAGGCCUACGGGUUGUAAACUGCUUUUGUACGGAACGAAACGGCUCUGGUUAAUACCCGGGGCUAAUGACGGUACCGUAAGAAUAAGCACCGGCUAACUACGUG